Molecule: non-coding RNA, 24 nt
Filed under: Arabidopsis thaliana (thale cress)
Lineage: Eukaryota; Viridiplantae; Streptophyta; Magnoliopsida; Brassicales; Brassicaceae
Source: RNAcentral
GAUCGCCACACUUGGGUUCAAAUU